This 475-nucleotide ribosomal RNA is filed under the name uncultured bacterium. RNAcentral describes it as "SSU rRNA". It matches the Rfam family "Bacterial small subunit ribosomal RNA", at positions 26 to 521 of the family's 1533-position model. The record is from RNAcentral.
AGGAUAAACGCUGGCGGCGUGCAUGAGACAUGCAAGUCGAACGGACGAUCGAGGCUUGCCUUGAUCGUUAGUGGCGGACGGCUGAGUAACGCGUAGGUGACCUGCCCCGAAGUGGGGAAUAACUGCCCGAAAGGGUGGCUAAUACCGCAUGUGGUGGUGUGUUCAUUCACACCAGUAAAGCCGCAAGGCGCUUCGGGAGGGGCCUGCGUCCGAUUAGCUCGUUGGUGGGGUAACGGCUCACCAAGGCGACGAUCGGUAGGUGGUCUGAGAGGACGAUCACCCAGACUGGGACUGAGACACGGCCCAGACUCCUACGGGAGGCAGCAGUCGGGAAUUUUGCGCAAUGGACGAAAGUCUGACGCAGCAACGCCGCGUGAGGGAUGAAGGCCUUCGGGUUGUAACCUCUUUAUCAGGGAAGAUAAUGACGGUACCUGAUGAAUAAGUCACGGACUAACUACGCGCCAGCAGCCGCGGU